This 331-nucleotide ribosomal RNA is filed under the name Brevibacterium sp. RNAcentral describes it as "partial 16S ribosomal RNA". It matches the Rfam family "Bacterial small subunit ribosomal RNA", at positions 930 to 1267 of the family's 1533-position model. The record is from RNAcentral. Lineage: Bacteria; Bacillati; Actinomycetota; Actinomycetes; Micrococcales; Brevibacteriaceae.
CCCCCCCCCCGGCGGAGCAUUUGUUUAUUGAAGCAACGGAAGAACCUUACCAGGUCCCCUCCUCUGACAAUCUAGAGAUAGGAGUCCCCUUCGGGGGCAGAGUGACAGGUGGUGCAAAAAAAGUCAGCUCGUGUCGUGAGAUGUUGGGUUAAGUCCCGCAACGAGCGCAACCCUUGAUCUUAGUUGCCAGCAUUCCAGUUGGGCACUCCUAAGGUGACUGCCGGUGACAAACCGCAGGAAGGUGGGGAUGACGUCAAAUCAUCAUGCCCCUUAGACCUGGGCUACACACGUGCUACAAUGCGAACAAAGGGCGGGAAACCGCGAGGUUAAG